Molecule: ribosomal RNA, 2859 nt
Filed under: Staphylococcus aureus
Lineage: Bacteria; Bacillati; Bacillota; Bacilli; Caryophanales; Staphylococcaceae
Description: bacterial LSU rRNA
Rfam family: Bacterial large subunit ribosomal RNA
Source: RNAcentral
UUAAGUUAUUAAGGGCGCACGGUGGAUGCCUUGGCACUAGAAGCCGAUGAAGGACGUUACUAACGACGAUAUGCUUUGGGGAGCUGUAAGUAAGCUUUGAUCCAGAGAUUUCCGAAUGGGGAAACCCAGCAUGAGUUAUGUCAUGUUAUCGAUAUGUGAAUACAUAGCAUAUCAGAAGGCACACCCGGAGAACUGAAACAUCUUAGUACCCGGAGGAAGAGAAAGAAAAUUCGAUUCCCUUAGUAGCGGCGAGCGAAACGGGAAGAGCCCAAACCAACAAGCUUGCUUGUUGGGGUUGUAGGACACUCUAUACGGAGUUACAAAGGACGACAUUAGACGAAUCAUCUGGAAAGAUGAAUCAAAGAAGGUAAUAAUCCUGUAGUCGAAAAUGUUGUCUCUCUUGAGUGGAUCCUGAGUACGACGGAGCACGUGAAAUUCCGUCGGAAUCUGGGAGGACCAUCUCCUAAGGCUAAAUACUCUCUAGUGACCGAUAGUGAACCAGUACCGUGAGGGAAAGGUGAAAAGCACCCCGGAAGGGGAGUGAAAUAGAACCUGAAACCGUGUGCUUACAAGUAGUCAGAGCCCGUUAAUGGGUGAUGGCGUGCCUUUUGUAGAAUGAACCGGCGAGUUACGAUUUGAUGCAAGGUUAAGCAGUAAAUGUGGAGCCGUAGCGAAAGCGAGUCUGAAUAGGGCGUUUAGUAUUUGGUCGUAGACCCGAAACCAGGUGAUCUACCCUUGGUCAGGUUGAAGUUCAGGUAACACUGAAUGGAGGACCGAACCGACUUACGUUGAAAAGUGAGCGGAUGAACUGAGGGUAGCGGAGAAAUUCCAAUCGAACCUGGAGAUAGCUGGUUCUCUCCGAAAUAGCUUUAGGGCUAGCCUCAAGUGAUGAUUAUUGGAGGUAGAGCACUGUUUGGACGAGGGGCCCCUCUCGGGUUACCGAAUUCAGACAAACUCCGAAUGCCAAUUAAUUUAACUUGGGAGUCAGAACAUGGGUGAUAAGGUCCGUGUUCGAAAGGGAAACAGCCCAGACCACCAGCUAAGGUCCCAAAAUAUAUGUUAAGUGGAAAAGGAUGUGGCGUUGCCCAGACAACUAGGAUGUUGGCUUAGAAGCAGCCAUCAUUUAAAGAGUGCGUAAUAGCUCACUAGUCGAGUGACACUGCGCCGAAAAUGUACCGGGGCUAAACAUAUUACCGAAGCUGUGGAUUGUCCUUUGGACAAUGGUAGGAGAGCGUUCUAAGGGCGUUGAAGCAUGAUCGUAAGGACAUGUGGAGCGCUUAGAAGUGAGAAUGCCGGUGUGAGUAGCGAAAGACGGGUGAGAAUCCCGUCCACCGAUUGACUAAGGUUUCCAGAGGAAGGCUCGUCCGCUCUGGGUUAGUCGGGUCCUAAGCUGAGGCCGACAGGCGUAGGCGAUGGAUAACAGGUUGAUAUUCCUGUACCACCUAUAAUCGUUUUAAUCGAUGGGGGGACGCAGUAGGAUAGGCGAAGCGUGCGAUUGGAUUGCACGUCUAAGCAGUAAGGCUGAGUAUUAGGCAAAUCCGGUACUCGUUAAGGCUGAGCUGUGAUGGGGAGAAGACAUUGNGUCUUCGAGUCGUUGAUUUCACACUGCCGAGAAAAGCCUCUAGAUAGAAAAUAGGUGCCCGUACCGCAAACCGACACAGGUAGUCAAGAUGAGAAUUCUAAGGUGAGCGAGCGAACUCUCGUUAAGGAACUCGGCAAAAUGACCCCGUAACUUCGGGAGAAGGGGUGCUCUUUAGGGUUAACGCCCAGAAGAGCCGCAGUGAAUAGGCCCAAGCGACUGUUUAUCAAAAACACAGGUCUCUGCUAAACCGUAAGGUGAUGUAUAGGGGCUGACGCCUGCCCGGUGCUGGAAGGUUAAGAGGAGUGGUUAGCUUCUGCGAAGCUACGAAUCGAAGCCCCAGUAAACGGCGGCCGUAACUAUAACGGUCCUAAGGUAGCGAAAUUCCUUGUCGGGUAAGUUCCGACCCGCACGAAAGGCGUAACGAUUUGGGCACUGUCUCAACGAGAGACUCGGUGAAAUCAUAGUACCUGUGAAGAUGCAGGUUACCCGCGACAGGACGGAAAGACCCCGUGGAGCUUUACUGUAGCCUGAUAUUGAAAUUCGGCACAGCUUGUACAGGAUAGGUAGGAGCCUUUGAAACGUGAGCGCUAGCUUACGUGGAGGCGCUGGUGGGAUACUACCCUAGCUGUGUUGGCUUUCUAACCCGCACCACUUAUCGUGGUGGGAGACAGUGUCAGGCGGGCAGUUUGACUGGGGCGGUCGCCUCCUAAAAGGUAACGGAGGCGCUCAAAGGUUCCCUCAGAAUGGUUGGAAAUCAUUCAUAGAGUGUAAAGGCAUAAGGGAGCUUGACUGCGAGACCUACAAGUCGAGCAGGGUCGAAAGACGGACUUAGUGAUCCGGUGGUUCCGCAUGGAAGGGCCAUCGCUCAACGGAUAAAAGCUACCCCGGGGAUAACAGGCUUAUCUCCCCCAAGAGUUCACAUCGACGGGGAGGUUUGGCACCUCGAUGUCGGCUCAUCGCAUCCUGGGGCUGUAGUCGGUCCCAAGGGUUGGGCUGUUCGCCCAUUAAAGCGGUACGCGAGCUGGGUUCAGAACGUCGUGAGACAGUUCGGUCCCUAUCCGUCGUGGGCGUAGGAAAUUUGAGAGGAGCUGUCCUUAGUACGAGAGGACCGGGAUGGACAUACCUCUGGUGUACCAGUUGUCGUGCCAACGGCAUAGCUGGGUAGCUAUGUGUGGACGGGAUAAGUGCUGAAAGCAUCUAAGCAUGAAGCCCCCCUCAAGAUGAGAUUUCCCAACUUCGGUUAUAAGAUCCCUCAAAGAUGAUGAGGUUAAUAGGUU